Molecule: long non-coding RNA, 1000 nt
Organism: Strongylocentrotus purpuratus (purple sea urchin)
Lineage: Eukaryota; Metazoa; Echinodermata; Echinoidea; Camarodonta; Strongylocentrotidae
Exons: 2
Source: RefSeq, a predicted model, not a curated record
UAUGUUGUAAUAUGGAAUGUUGAGGUAAUUAUGCCAUAAUGUAUUAUAGUGUAUUGGUGCAUUAGUGUAUAAGGAAUUGUAGGUGGAGCAGUCUACAAUGUAAGCUACCCCCCCUUCCUCAUCAGACAAUAGCCUUACUUUCCCGCCUUUUUGGGGGUACCUGUAUUGCCCAAUGUACUGAUACCCUAUAGGCAUGAUUGGGGAUCCUAUUGUAAGUUUUAGUGGAUGAGUGAUUUUCUUUUGUUCGGGGUCUGUGCACCCAGAGCUGCUAUAGCAGGGACAGAGAGACAUUGUAGAUUGGAGAGAGAGGAGAGAAGCACUAAUUUGUGCCUGCUAAUGGAGAUUGUUAUUUACUUCUGGCAGAUCACAAUUCAUGUAAGUUGAUUUAUACUGUUGGAACUGAUGAUUAUUAUAUAUAUUUCAUAUUAUUAAUGGAUGUCACAUUUUAUGAAUUGCUGAAGAUAAGAUAGUGAAAGUUGAGGAUUGUUGAACCAUGUUGUAUGUACACUGAUAUAAUGACACUUUAUGAUAAAUGUGAUUAACUUAUUUCAUUUGCAUUACAUGUAUCAUGCUUUAUAAAGUAGAUUAUUAUGCUUGAAUUUCUGAUAAUGAUGAAAUGAUAAUUACUCUGACAAAUUAAAUUAAUUUUAAGUUUGUCUUUAUAUAGAUUGAAACAUGUUUCUGUUAAACAAAGUCAAUUAAAAGAAUGACUACCAAAGAGGAUUUAUAUAUAUAUAUAUUUGAAUGUAAUUACAUUGUGUCAUGCAGUUUUCACAAAGUCAUUAUUGUGAAGUAAGAAUUGUUAUUUUAUUGUUGUUACCUUUAGGGCUGCAUGUGGUGAAAUCUCCUUAUUUGAUGAACUACACUUUCUACAAUAAGGUGGAAGCUUUGUUUAUGAUCAGGGGUCGGACGACAGCAUAUAGCGUUAGUGUUGCUUCGUCGUUAUAGUAUUGGCCGGGGCUGUGUUUUCUUUGGUGAAUAAAUGCAAGACUAAAGUUUA